CCUACGGGAGGCUGCAGUGGGGAAUAUUGGACAAUGGGGGGAACCCUGAUCCAGCCAUACCGCGUGUGUGAAGAAGGCCCUCGGGUUGUAAAGCACUUUCAGUGAGGAAGAACGCCUGGUGGUUAAUACCCAUCAGGAAAGACAUCACUCACAGAAGAAGCACCGGCUAACUCCGUGCCAGCAGCCGCGGUAAUACGGAGGGUGCGAGCGUUAAUCGGAAUUACUGGGCGUAAAGCGCGCGUAGGUGGCUUGAUAAGCCGGUUGUGAAAGCCCCGGGCUCAACCUGGGAACGGCAUCCGGAACUGUCAAGCUAGAGUGCAGGAGAGGAAGGUAGAAUUCCCGGUGUAGCGGUGAAAUGCGUAGAGAUCGGGAGGAAUACCAGUGGCGAAGGCGGCCUUCUGGACUGACACUGACACUGAGGUGCGAAAGCGUGGGUAGCAAACAGGAUUAGAUACCCUUGUAGUC
Molecule: ribosomal RNA, 465 nt
Filed under: Vreelandella stevensii
Lineage: Bacteria; Pseudomonadati; Pseudomonadota; Gammaproteobacteria; Oceanospirillales; Halomonadaceae
Description: partial 16S ribosomal RNA
Rfam family: Bacterial small subunit ribosomal RNA
Source: RNAcentral